CGGUGAAGCAUGGUGGUGGAAGCAUCAUGCUUUAGGGCUGCAUUUCUUCAGCCAGAACUAUGGAUUUUAUCAAGGUGGAUGCUAUCAUGAAUAGGUCUACUAGUUUACUAGUAAGCUGAAGAUGAAAAGAAAUUUCAGCAUGACAAUGACCCAAAGCAUAGUCGCAAAUCAUCAAAGGAAUGGCUUAACCAAAAGAAGAUCAGUGUUUUUGAAUGACCGAGCCAGAGCCCAGACCUGAAUCCAACCAAAAAAUUCUGUGGGGUGACCUGAAGCGGGCUGUGCACAUGAGAUGCCCUUACAGUUUGAUGGAUGUGGAAUGUUUUUGCAAGAAAGCGUGGGAAAAUAUUGCUGAGUCAAGAUGUGGCAUGCUGAUAGACUCUUACCCAAAAAAGAGUGAAUGCUGUGAUAAAAUUUAAACUAAGCAUUAGCUUAGGGGUGUGCACACUUACUAUUGCACAUUUAUAUUAUUCAUUUUGUUCCCCCUAAAAUGAUUCUUAUUGUUUUUCGAUUUAAUUUACAGGCUGCAAUUUCACAUUAAAGGUGGGAAAAGAUCUGACAUGAUUGAUCUUGGCUUGUGACUGUGUUUAAAUAUAUAUAUUCAACAACUCUGGAAAAAAAAAUUAAGAGAUCACUGCAAUGUAGGGCAGCCAUUCCAUUCCAGUGUCUGUUGAAUUCCAACUGAUUAGCUGAUCAACUGACUGUGGUCUAUCCUCUUGUAAUUGGACCAGAUGGAUGGCAAAGACAGUGCUAGUAGUACCUCAAAAGUAAUUGGAAUUAAAAAAAUAAUUAUUGAUCAUGCCAAAAGAGUUGAAAAGGAAAGUUUUGAGUGAGGAAAAGAAGGGUUCUGGCAAUUCUGGCUUUACUGGCAGAGGGAUACAGUGAGUGUCGGGUUGCUUCCGUCCUUAAAAUUUCAAAGAUGGUGGUUCAUAAGAACAACGUCAAGCAGCAGACAUUGGGGACAACAAAGCUACAGAGGGUGAAAACGACUCUCCACUGACCGGGAUGACCGCCAACUCAUUCAAAUGUCACUCAUCAACCGUAGGAUGACAUCAAGUGACCUACAAAAAGAAUGGCAAACGGCACCUGGGGUGAAGUGCAUGGUGAGAACGGUUAGAAACGGGCUCCUAGGAGGCAGGAUGAAGUCGUGCAAAGCUAGAAAUAAUGUGCUUCAUCAAUGAUCAGCAAAGAAGAGCCAUGGCUGAAGUUUGCAAAAGAUCACAAGGAUUGGAACGUAGAGGACUGGAGUAAGAUCAUCUUCUCUGAUGAGUCCAAUUUUCAGCUUUGUCCAAUACCUGGUCAUCUAAUGGUUAGACGGAGACCUGGAGAUGCCUACAAGCCACAGUGUCUCACACCAACUGUGACAUUUGGUGGAGGAUCGAUGAUGAUCUGGGGCUGCUUCAGCAAGGCUGGAAUCAGGCAGAUUUGUCUACGCAUGAAUCAAACCACGUACAAGGUUGUCCUGGAAAAACACUUACUUCCUUCUGCUCUGAUAAUGUUCCCCAACUUUCCAGCAGGACAAUGUGCCAUUCUCCACAGCCAGGUCAAGCAAGGUGUGGAUGGAGGACCACCAGAUCAAGACCCUGUCAUGGCCAGCCCAAUCUCCAGAUCUGAACCCCAUUGAAAACCUCUGGAAUGUGAUCAAGAGGAAGAUGGAUGGUCACAAGCCAUCAAACAUAGCCGAGCUGAUUGAAUUUUUGCACCAGGAGUGACUUAAAGUCUCCCAACAUCAAUAUGAAAGACUGGUGUAGAGCAUGCCAAGAUCCAUGAAAGCUGGGAUUGAAAAUCAGGGUUAUUCCAUGAAAUAUUGAUUUCUGGACUCUUCCUAAGUUAAAACAUUAGUAUUGUGUUGCUUAAAAUGAAUCGGAACUUUUCUUUGCAUCAUUCAAGUUCUGAAAACACCGCAUCUUUUUGUUGUUGUUGUUGUUGUUGUUAUC
Molecule: long non-coding RNA, 1934 nt
Organism: Ictalurus punctatus (channel catfish)
Lineage: Eukaryota; Metazoa; Chordata; Actinopteri; Siluriformes; Ictaluridae
Source: Ensembl